Long non-coding RNA from Heterocephalus glaber (naked mole-rat), 456 nucleotides. RefSeq lists it as uncharacterized. NCBI's taxonomy places the organism in Eukaryota, Metazoa, Chordata, Mammalia, Rodentia, Bathyergidae. The record is from RefSeq and is a predicted model, not a curated record.
AGAAAAGGCCCCCUUUUAAUUGAAUUCCUAAUUACAUUUAUAAAAGAUCAAUGUCUUAAGUGAAUAAUAGUGUUUUAACCAAGUAUUGUCCCCAAGACUUUUGACCUACUGAUACAAUUCUAGCAUUUAUGACAUCCGUGUGGAGCAUUCAAAAGCAUUCCAAUGGAACCUCUCAGGUCAUCCAUCAGUUACUUUGAAAACAGGCAGAGCUCUGCCUUGUGACAUCUGGCCAAUCUCCGGACCACUUUGAUCUUAUAAUCAGGAACCCAUCUACCACAGCAGCCACAGCCUCCAUCACAGCUAGAUGCUGUUUCGAACAACCAUUCUGCAAUAAUAACAUUUCAGAUCCUUUCUACAGGAAGCCAUAAGUAUAGUAUACCCAUGUUUGCCUUCCAAGUAACCUCAGGUUGAGGUUGCAGGCCUCAUACGGAGGGAACCCAUUUGGGGGUCUGAGAA